GAUGAACGCUGGCGGCGUGCCUAAUACAUGCAAGUCGAGCGAACAGACGAGGAGCUUGCUCCUCUGACGUUAGCGGCGGACGGGCGAGUAACACGUGGAUAACCUACCUAUAAGACUGGGAUAACUUCGGGAAACCGGAGCUAAUACCGGAUAAUAUAUUGAACCGCAUGGUUCAAUAGUGAAAGACGGUUUUGCUGUCACCUAUAGAUGGAUCCGCGCCGCAUUAGCUAGUUAGUAAGGUAACGGCUUACCAAGGCAACGAUGCGUAGCCGACCUGAGAGGGUGAUCGGCCACACUGGAACUGAGACACGGUCCAGACUCCUACGGGAGGCAGCAGUAGGGAAUCUUCCGCAAUGGGCGAAAGCCUGACGGAGCAACGCCGCGUGAGUGAUGAAGGUCUUCGGAUCGUAAAACUCUGUUAUUAGGGAAGAACAAAUGUGUAAGUAACUAUGCACGUCUUGACGGUACCUAAUCAGAAAGCCACGGCUAACUACGUG
This 497-nucleotide ribosomal RNA is filed under the name uncultured bacterium. Its description in RNAcentral is "partial 16S ribosomal RNA". It matches the Rfam family "Bacterial small subunit ribosomal RNA", at positions 28 to 507 of the family's 1533-position model. The record is from RNAcentral.